Molecule: long non-coding RNA, 2313 nt
Organism: Cavia porcellus (domestic guinea pig)
Lineage: Eukaryota; Metazoa; Chordata; Mammalia; Rodentia; Caviidae
Exons: 2
Source: RefSeq, a predicted model, not a curated record
GGCAGAAAGGAUGGACUCAAAAGAAAAAGGAAAACAGUGUCAAUGAAAGGUGGUGACCUCUGGCUCCAUCCCUAUGAGCAGCAGGCACACUGAGCACUGCUGUCUUUUCUCUUCCUUGUCUCUUAGGCUGAGUAAGCCUCUCCCAGGGUAGGAGGAGCAAAGCAGCCUGUGCUCACAGGCACAGCCUCACUUCCUCAUCUGACUGAUUUCCAGGCUGGGUGUGGAUAACCACACAGUGCUAACAGGAUUUCAGGGCUAUCUGAUUCCUGCAGGAAGGAGGGGGCAGGUGCUGCUCCGAUUCAGCUGCAUCAAGUAUGGUGGAUGUUCCAUGCUCAGCUGCUUUCAGAUGCCUUUCUGGAAGGACCCCUCUGGAGGUCCCAGGCUGCCCAGGCACUUGAGCCGGAGCAGGAACCUCACUCCUUCCAGUUAACAACUGUCUUUAUUAAUAGAACUGGUGUUAGGCAAGUUCAUUGCUAUGGUAUAGAUUUACAAUACCCACCCCCCAAGGUCUUAUGGAUUCAGAGGUGCACUUUUGGAAGGUGAUUGGAUCAUGGGGACCCUGUGUUCACGAAUGGAUUGCUAUGGUCUCAACCCUGGAACUUACUCAUGGAUCAAAUGAAGGAACCAGGAUAUUUCUCCAGAGACAACCCGAGCACAUCAGGGCCAGUGAUGGUUGCCCUCCCUCUGCCCGCAGGGCCCAGUCACAGCCCCUCUAGUAGAGAGACGGUAACACUGCUGGGACAGGCAAGAAUCUCCUGGAGGAUGACACAGAUGAUCAAAACACCUGGACACAACUCGUUUAUGGCUUCAACAAGAGAUGAAAGAGAAGAGCUCACUUGCGGAGCACCUAUGAGAUACCAGGCAGUAAGCACUUGCUUGUAAAUUACCACUUCUAAGACUUGCAAUUCUACCCAGAGGUAGUUGUUUUCCUUUCAUUUUAUAUUUGUAAGCAAUAAAAAAUAGUCAAAAACAAAAACAAAAGGCAAAGAAGCUUUCAUAAUCAGACAGAUCCAAGUUGGGGUUCUUACAGCUAACUGACCUCAGUGAGAACACCGGCUCAGUGUGCUAAAAUCAGAUCACACCUAACAGAGCAACUAGUAGAUAGCCAACAACAGUAACCAGCCUGCCUUUUCCCUGUGAGAGACUAGCAAACACACUUAGAGUUAAAUGACUUGUGCAAGAUCACAGCACCAGGAAGUACUGUAUGAAAACUAAAGUUCCAUGGACCAUCUCUGGAGCCCUGUUUUUUCCUCCAGUGAACAGUGCUACUUCCUUGUGGGCAUUGGGAGUGCAUUCCGGGCAGAGGGAGGAGCUUGCCCAAAAGCAUGAUAAGAUAGCAGAAAGUAUGAGAUCUAUUAUCCUGCUGUGUAAAAACUGCUUCUUUCCAAGCAUCCCAAGGGUGGAGUGGUUUGAUUUGGUGGGUAAUGACAGUUUGAAUAACAGAGCUAUCAUUAUUUUUUUAUACAGCUGAAAUUCUGAGCAAUCAAAGGUGUAGGAUUAUUUGCUCAUCUCUCAGAGUCAAAAAAUAUCUCCACAUUUGUCUUGGCACAAUUAUUUAAUAGCCUGAUGCUGUGGUAUGAAAUUUUCAUCCUCCACAGGUCAUCUUGGAAACAAACGAACUGGAAGUAGAUCUGGCUUGUGUCUAUCAAUCUAUGAAAGGACACUGAUAUUCCAAGACCUGCGUACAUAUUUAUUUUCUUGACAUUGCCUCUACAUCGAUGACACUUGCACAGGCGCUGACAUUCACUGUGGCUUGGCCUGGCAAUAACUGCUAUAAAGUGGGAUGAGGUGGGAAGAACCCAGGAUAGAAAAGAACAAAGGAAAGGUUAGGUCAUGCCAUGUUAAUACAGUUCCUUGGACCACAUUUGCCAUGUGGGGAAACUAGAAGUGUGAUGGACCCCAUUUUCCCAAUGAAAAAGAUGAAGACUCUUGGAAGGCAGCUCUCCCAGGUAUGCCAUGUCCCCUUCCUCCCUCACAAUGGUAGGAGGUCGUCCUUUGCAAAGGGUUAGCUGAAUAAGAAACACAGCACUGUAGUAGUAUAGACAGCUGAGCUAGGUAGCAAUAUUAUAGGCAGUCAGACAGGCCUGGGCCCUGGAGGGAGUCAGUACAGAAGGUGAAAAUGAGCUGCAACUGUGGCUGGAAGCACAUCCUUUGAAGGCCAGGCCUCCAGAUAAAGAGAGAAUGUGCAGGUUUGCAUGCCUCAGAGGAUAAGCAAUAGACUGUAAUUUGUAUUGCCCAGUGCAAUACAGUCUAGAUAGACAACUGCCACCCAGGUAGGCGACCAGGAUAUCCUAAUUCAUCUCUUCCCAAAAA